UACGUAGGGGGCAAGCGUUGUCCGGAAUCACUGGGCGUAAAGCGCACGUAGGCGGCUUCUUAAGUCAGGGGUGAAAUCCUGGAGCUCAACUCCAGAACUGCCUUUGAUACUGAGAAGCUUGAGUUCAGGAGAGGUGAGUGGAACUGCGAGUGUAGAGGUGAAAUUCGUAGAUAUUCGCAAGAACACCAGUGGCGAAGGCGGCUCACUGGCCCGAUACUGACGCUGAGGUGCGAAAGCGUGGGGAGCAAACAGG
RNAcentral lists this ribosomal RNA (253 nucleotides) under uncultured bacterium. RNAcentral describes it as "partial 16S ribosomal RNA". It matches the Rfam family "Bacterial small subunit ribosomal RNA", at positions 524 to 776 of the family's 1533-position model. The record is from RNAcentral.